AGUGAACGCUGGCGGUAGGCCUAACACAUGCAAGUCGAACGGCAGCACAGUAAGAGCUUGCUCUUACGGGUGGCGAGUGGCGGACGGGUGAGGAAUACAUCGGAAUCUACUUUUUCGUGGGGGAUAACGUAGGGAAACUUACGCUAAUACCGCAUACGACCUACGGGUGAAAGCAGGGGAUCUUCGGACCUUGCGCGAUUGAAUGAGCCGAUGUCGGAUUAGCUAGUUGGCGGGGUAAAGGCCCACCAAGGCGACGAUCCGUAGCUGGUCUGAGAGGAUGAUCAGCCACACUGGAACUGAGACGCGGUCCAGACUCCUACGGGAGGCAGCAGUGGGGAAUAUUGGACAAUGGGCGCAAGCCUGAUCCAGCCAUACCGCGUGGGUGAAGAAGGCCUUCGGGUUGUAAAGCCCUUUUGUUGGGAAAGAAAAGCAGCAGGUUAAUACCCCGCUGUUCCGACGGUACCCAAAGAAUAAGCACCGGCUAACUUCGU
Molecule: ribosomal RNA, 491 nt
Filed under: uncultured bacterium
Lineage: Bacteria
Description: partial 16S ribosomal RNA
Rfam family: Bacterial small subunit ribosomal RNA
Source: RNAcentral